Silurus meridionalis is the source of this 809-nucleotide long non-coding RNA. RefSeq lists it as uncharacterized. Lineage: Eukaryota; Metazoa; Chordata; Actinopteri; Siluriformes; Siluridae. The record is from RefSeq and is a predicted model, not a curated record. The transcript is spliced from 3 exons.
CACACACACACACACACACACACACAGGCACUGCUUUGUUCUUUUAUCCUACCGCUGUAAAGUCGAUGCUCUUGCAUGUUUUCGAAGCCCUUAUUUCUACUAGUUAUUUAUUUCUGAUAGUUAUUUAUUUCUUCCUCACUCCGUGAUUAGCAAGAAACAGAACCGGAGAGAGAGCGAGAGAGAGAGAGAUUUUUCCACCGCUUGUCAUGUCAGAUCAGAGGAACAUCUUCCCUGACGCUUCGCUAAUGACGAGUCUCCAUGUCUCUGCUGUUUCUGGCUGUCAUUCCUUAAUAAGCGGCGAGGCUGGAGCCAGCUAGCUCGCCCGCUUAGCGAUAUAAGGUCAGGCUGUCAUCGCUAGUCCUUUCCGGAGCUCUAUUAUUCAAGGAAUAACCUCAAAACCGCAUCGGAAAAAAGAAGGAAUAACAGCCUCUGAGACGAUAAUCCCGGAACGUCGAAGCAAUAAUUAAAGAAAGGUGGAGGAGAGAAGAUGGAUGGCUCGACUAUCUCAUCCGUGCCUGUCCGUAUCUUCUGGGAGACGAGUAAUCUGUUCCCAAGCUCAUUUCAGGAGCUCUGCUAGCUCUGCAUAAAAGUCAAUAAUAAAAUAAAAUGUAAUUAUGCCAUUGUAACACAUCUCUCUCGCUCUCUCUCUCUCUCUCGCUUGCGUAUCUCGAUGGUAUUUGAAUAAUGAAUUAUGCUCACGUUAAUGCGCCAGGAACAGCGAAAUGUCAUUACAGGGCUGUCAGGGGCUCAAAACACGGCAUGCUCUCUAACAGGUCGGAGUGGAGGAUCUCCUGCUAUAGAGCUCCAAC